GCAAGCGGUGGAGCAUGUGGUUUAAUUCGAAGCGACGCGAAGAACCUUACCAGGUCUUGACAUCCCGAUGCUAUUUCUAGAGAUAGAAAGUUACUUCGGUACAUCGGUGACAGGUGGUGCAUGGUUGUCGUCAGCUCGUGUCGUGAGAUGUUGGGUUAAGUCCCGCAACGAGCGCAACCCCUAUUGCUAGUUGCCAUCAUUCAGUUGGGCACUCUAGCGAGACUGCCGGUAAUAAACCGGAGGAAGGUGGGGAUGACGUCAAAUCAUCAUGCCCCUUAUGUCUAGGGCUACACACGUGCUACAAUGGUGAGGACAAAGAGACGCAAGACCGCGAGGUGGAGCAAAUCUCACAAACCUCAUCCCAGUUCGGAUUGUUCUCUGCAACUCGAGAACAUGAAGCUGGAAUCACUAGUAAUCGCAGAUCAGCUAUGCUGCGGUGAAUACGUUCCCGGGUCUU
Molecule: ribosomal RNA, 457 nt
Filed under: uncultured Streptococcus sp.
Lineage: Bacteria; Bacillati; Bacillota; Bacilli; Lactobacillales; Streptococcaceae
Description: bacterial SSU rRNA
Rfam family: Bacterial small subunit ribosomal RNA
Source: RNAcentral